UAGGGAAUCUUCGGCAAUGGGGGGAACCCUGACCGAGCAACGCCGCGUGAGUGAAGAAGGUUUUCGGAUCGUAAAGCUCUGUUGUUAAGGAAGAACGAGUGUGAGAAUGGAAAGUUCAUACUGUGACGGUACUUAACCAGAAAGGGACGGCUAACUACGUGCCAGCAGCCGCGGUAAUACGUAGGUCCCGAGCGUUGUCCGGAUUUAUUGGGCGUAAAGCGAGCGCAGGCGGUUAGAUAAGUCUGAAGUUAAAGGCAGUGGCUCAACCAUUGUAGGCUUUGGAAACUGUUUAACUUGAGUGCAGAAGGGGAGAGUGGAAUUCCAUGUGUGACGGUGAAAUGCGUAGAUGUAUGGAGGAACACCGGUGGCGAAAGCGGCUCUCUGGUCUGUAACUGACGCUGAGGCUCGAAAGCGUGGGGAGCGAACAGG
This 429-nucleotide ribosomal RNA is filed under the name Bacteroidota bacterium. RNAcentral describes it as "Bacteroidetes bacterium partial 16S ribosomal RNA". It matches the Rfam family "Bacterial small subunit ribosomal RNA", at positions 355 to 776 of the family's 1533-position model. Lineage: Bacteria; Pseudomonadati; Bacteroidota. The record is from RNAcentral.